Delphinapterus leucas (beluga whale) is the source of this 1024-nucleotide long non-coding RNA. RefSeq lists it as uncharacterized. Lineage: Eukaryota; Metazoa; Chordata; Mammalia; Artiodactyla; Monodontidae. The record is from RefSeq and is a predicted model, not a curated record.
ACUCGCGGCAGCUGUCCAGGUCGCGCCGCCACUGCUCGCAGGCCGGCCGCUCGCCGUGGACGUAAUAGUGGCGCAGGAAGUGGCCGGCGCUGCUGCAGAGCUCCCACUCGGCGCGGUAGGCCUCGCACGGGCGCGGCGGCUGCGGGGACGGGGGAGUGAGCUGGGGACCCGGUGAGCGCCAGCCCGUCCCGCACGGACGGACCCGAUCUCCGUCCUCCCGACCUGGCCCCGCGGGUCCCCGGGUCCCACCGCACUUACCUGCCAGCCUCCACCUUCCGCCAUGUCCCGGGACUGCCUAACCCGCCUCCUGAGCCCGCGGACCGCCGCGUGACUGAUGGGCGGACGGACUAAUGAGCCCCGAGAUCUCACCACUAACUCCUCGCCCCGCUCCUUGAGACGCGCCACUGAACAGGACGUCCGGGUUGGCAGCCAAUAACAGUCGAGGGAGGGCGGGGCCUGGAGGCCUGUGUGGGCGGGGCCUGGAGGCUGCGGCGGAGCCGAGGCCGGUGUGGGCCGGGCAUGCCCCCAGGGUCACCAGGCCCGGCUAGCCGUGUGGCGGAGGUAACUUGGGCGUCCCCUCGAGCCGGCGGGCGCCCGGCUGCACAUUCACGUCCAGUGGCCGUUUCUGACGGAACCACUCGGCUCGGGCAGGUUCUUUCCAGCAGCUUUAUUUUCAUAAUCUCAAAGAUCGGUUCAUUUCGUCAGCACGCACCGGAAUCAGUGUCGCCACUCCAGUCCUACGGCUGCAUUUGUCGCGCCUGUGUCCCCUCGAGGGCGGGGUGACUCCCAGAGACUGUCCUUCUCCAGAGAAAGCGACGAAUCUGCCUCCAGCUUCAUCCUGAGUGUGAAGAGAAAAUACCAUUUUCAGAAACUCCUUGGAAGUUUAAUAAGAAAUGCUUUAUUCUGUUGACUCAUGUACCAUCUGCCCAUUUUCCUUACUCCCACAUUCAUAAUAAGAAAUGUCUUUGAAAUAGAAAUGCAAGUUAUAAUCUACUGAAUUGAAAACAAAACCAUGGAAUCACAA